RNAcentral lists this ribosomal RNA (440 nucleotides) under uncultured bacterium. RNAcentral describes it as "partial 16S ribosomal RNA". It matches the Rfam family "Bacterial small subunit ribosomal RNA", at positions 338 to 795 of the family's 1533-position model. The record is from RNAcentral.
CCUACGGGAGGCUGCAGUGGGGAAUAUUGCGCAAUGGGGGGAACCCUGAUGCAGCAACGCCGCGUGGGUGAAGAAGUACUUCGGUAUGUAAAGCCCUGUCAGCAGGGAAGAAAAUGACGGUACCUGACCAAGAAGCCCCGGCUAACUACGUGCCAGCAGCCGCGGUAAUACGUAGGGGGCAAGCGUUAUCCGGAUUUACUGGGUGUAAAGGGAGCGUAGACGGCAAGGCAAGUCUGGAGUGAAAGCCCGUGGCUCAACCACGAGACUGCUUUGGAAACUGUGUUGCUGGAGUGCAGGAGGGGUAAGCGGAAUUCCUAGUGUAGCGGUGAAAUGCGUAGAUAGUAGGAGGAACACCGGUGGCGAAGGCGGCUUACUGGACUGUAACUGACGUUGAGGCUCGAAGGCGUGGGGAGCAAACAGGAUUAGAUACCCGGGUAGUC